Molecule: ribosomal RNA, 800 nt
Filed under: uncultured bacterium
Lineage: Bacteria
Description: bacterial SSU rRNA
Rfam family: Bacterial small subunit ribosomal RNA
Source: RNAcentral
AGAGUUUGAUCCUGGCUCAGAAUCAACGCUGGCGGCGUGCCUAAUACAUGCAAGUCGAACGCGAAAGCCCCGCAAGGGGCAAGUAGAGUGGCAAACGGGUGAGUAACGCGUGGGCGACCUACCUUCGAGUGGGGGAUAACCUUCCGAAAGGAGGGCUAAUACCGCAUGACAUCCCGUGUUUGGAUACACGGACAUCAAAGUCGGGGAUCGCAAGACCUGACGCUUGGAGAGGGGCCCGCGUCCGAUUAGCUAGUUGGUGGGGUAAUGGCCCACCAAGGCUUCGAUCGGUAUCCGGCCUGAGAGGGCGGACGGACACACUGGGACUGAGACACGGCCCAGACUCCUACGGGAGGCAGCAGUAGGGAAUUGUUCGCAAUGGGCGCAAGCCUGACGACGCAACGCCGCGUGGAGGAUGAAGACUUUCGGGUCGUAAACUCCUUUCGAUCGAGAUGAAUACGCACCGGCCUAAUAUGCCGGUGCGCUGACAGUAUCGGGAGAAGAAGCCCCGGCUAACUCCGUGCCAGCAGCCGCGGUAAUACGGGGGGGGCAAGCGUUGUUCGGAAUUACUGGGCGUAAAGGGUUCGUAGGUGGCCGGCUAAGUCAGACGUGAAAUCCCUCAGCUCAACUGGGGAACUGCGUCUGAGACUGGUCGGCUUGAGUGCAGGAGAGGAACGCGGAAUUCCAGGUGUAGCGGUGAAAUGCGUAGAUAUCUGGAGGAACACCGGUGGCGAAGGCGGCGUUCUGGACUGUUACUGACACUGAGGAACGAAAGCCAGGGGAGCAAACGGGAUUAGAUACCC